AACGAGACCUUAACCUGCUAAAUAGCCCGUAUUGCUUUGGCAGUACGCUGGCUUCUUAGAGGGACUAUCCGCUCAAGCGGAUGGAAGUUUGAGGCAAUAACAGGUCUGUGAUGCCCUUAGAUGUUCUGGGCCGCCCGCG
Molecule: ribosomal RNA, 139 nt
Filed under: Xylariales sp.
Lineage: Eukaryota; Fungi; Ascomycota; Sordariomycetes; Xylariales
Description: partial small subunit ribosomal RNA
Rfam family: Eukaryotic small subunit ribosomal RNA
Source: RNAcentral